RNAcentral lists this ribosomal RNA (485 nucleotides) under uncultured bacterium. Its description in RNAcentral is "partial 16S ribosomal RNA". It matches the Rfam family "Bacterial small subunit ribosomal RNA", at positions 30 to 507 of the family's 1533-position model. The record is from RNAcentral.
UUGCACGCUGGCGGCAUGCCUUACCCCUGCAAGUCGCACGGCAGCACGGGUGCUUGCACCUGGUGGCGAGUGGCGAACGGGUGAGUAAUACAUCGGAACAUGUCCUGUAGUGGGGGAUAGCCCGGCGAAAGCCGGAUUAAUACCGCAUACGAUCCACGGAUGAAAGCGGGGGACCUUCGGGCCUCGCGCUAUAGGGUUGGCCGAUGGCUGAUUAGCUAGUUGGUGGGGUAAAGGCCUACCAAGGCGACGAUCAGUAGCUGGUCUGAGAGGACGACCAGCCACACUGGGACUGAGACACGGCCCAGACUCCUACGGGAGGCAGCAGUGGGGAAUUUUGGACAAUGGGCGAAAGCCUGAUCCAGCAAUGCCGCGUGUGUGAAGAAGGCCUUCGGGUUGUAAAGCACUUUUGUCCGGAAAGAAAUCCUUGGCUCUAAUACAGUCGGGGGAUGACGGUACCGGAAGAAUAAGCACCGGCUAACUACGUG